CUUAGUGGCGGACUGGUGAGUAACGCGUGAGGAACCUGCCUUACACAGGGGGAUAACACCUGGAAACAGGUGCUAAUACCGCAUAAGCGCACAGGGCCGCAUGGCCCGGUGUGAAAAACUCCGGUGGUGUAAGAUGGACCCGCGUCUGAUUAGCUUGUUGGCGGGGUAGGGGCCCACCAAGGCGACGAUCAGUAGCCGGCCUGAGAGGGUGGACGGCCACAUUGGGACUGAGACACGGCCCAAACUCCUACGGAAGGCAGCAG
This 263-nucleotide ribosomal RNA is filed under the name uncultured bacterium. RNAcentral describes it as "partial 16S ribosomal RNA". It matches the Rfam family "Bacterial small subunit ribosomal RNA", at positions 91 to 354 of the family's 1533-position model. The record is from RNAcentral.